UACGUAGGUGGCAAGCGUUGUCCGGAAUUAUUGGGCGUAAAGCGCGCGCAGGCGGCUUCUUAAGUCUGAUGUGAAAUCUCGGGGCUCAACCCCGAGCGGCCAUUGGAAACUGGGAAGCUUGAGUACAGAAGAGGAGAGUGGAAUUCCACGUGUAGCGGUGAAAUGCGUAGAUAUGAUGGAGGAACACCAGUGGCGAAGGCGACUCUCUGGUCUGUAACUGACGCUGAGGCGCGAAAGCGUGGGGAGCAACAGG
Molecule: ribosomal RNA, 253 nt
Filed under: uncultured bacterium
Lineage: Bacteria
Description: partial 16S ribosomal RNA
Rfam family: Bacterial small subunit ribosomal RNA
Source: RNAcentral